This 497-nucleotide ribosomal RNA is filed under the name uncultured bacterium. RNAcentral's name for it is "partial 16S ribosomal RNA". It matches the Rfam family "Bacterial small subunit ribosomal RNA", at positions 28 to 507 of the family's 1533-position model. The record is from RNAcentral.
GAUGAACGCUGGCGGCGUGCCUAAUACAUGCAAGUCGAGCGAACGGACGAGAAUCUUGCUUCUCUGAUGUUAGCGGCGGACGUGUGAGUAACACGUGGAUAACCUACCUAUAAGACUGGGAUAACUUCGGGAAACCGGAGCUAAUACCGGAUAAUAUUUUGAACCGCAUGGUUCAAAAGUGAAAGACGGUCUUGCUGUCACUUAUAGAUGGAUCCGCGCUGCAUUAGCUAGUUGGUAAGGUAACGGCUUACCAAGGCAACGAUGCAUAGCCGACCUGAGAGGGUGAACGGCCACACUGGGAGUGAGACACGAUCCAGACUCCUAGGGGAGGCAGAAGUAGGGAAUCUUCCGAAAUGGGCGAAAGCCUGACGGAGCAACGCCGCGUGAGUGCUGAAGGUCUUCGGAUCGUAAAACUCUGUUAUUAGGGAAGAACAUAUGUGUAAGUAACUGUGCACAUCGUGACGGUACCUAAUCAGAAAGCCACGGCUAACUACGUG